AGUGAACGCUGGCGGUAGGCCUAACACAUGUAAGUCGAACGGCAGCACAGUAAGAGCUUGCUCUUACGGGUGGCGAGUGGCGGACGGGUGAGGAAUACAUCGGAAUCUACUUUUUCGUGGGGGAUAACGUAGGGAAACUUACGCUAAUACCGCAUACGACCUACGGGUGAAAGCAGGGGAUCUUCGGACCUUGCGCGAUUGAAUGAGCCGAUGUCGGAUUAGCCAGUUGGCGGGGUAAAGGCCCACCAAGGCGACGAUCCGUAGCUGGUCUGAGAGGAUGAUCAGCCACACUGGAACUGAGACACGGUCCAGACUCCUACGGGAGGCAGCAGUGGGGAAUAUUGGACAAUGGGCGCAAGCCUGAUCCAGCCAUACCGCGUGGGUGAAGAAGGCCUUCGGGUUGUAAAGCCCUUUUGUUGGGAAAGAAAAGCAGCAGGUUAAUACCCCGCUGUUCUGACGGUACCCAAAGAAUAAGCACCGGCUAACUUCGUG
Molecule: ribosomal RNA, 492 nt
Filed under: uncultured bacterium
Lineage: Bacteria
Description: partial 16S ribosomal RNA
Rfam family: Bacterial small subunit ribosomal RNA
Source: RNAcentral